UUUUUAAUUUUUCCCCAUACUAAAUAAAUCAUAACUCAUUCAUUUUUUGUCCAAAUAAUAUGAGGUUUUUUCCACCAUGAUCCUUGCCAUGUCCUUUAUUUUUUGAUGAUUUUUAAUGAAUUUGUGCACGGUUGGAAAAAAAUAUUUGGCUAGGGUUUGUUUUCACAUGUCAUUUGUUGCACCAUCCUUACUCUUUUGAUCAUGAAAUGAUGAUGCUU
This 218-nucleotide long non-coding RNA is filed under the name Lathyrus oleraceus (garden pea). Its description in RNAcentral is "Pisum sativum (pea) long non-coding RNA (PSAT_LNC018554)". Lineage: Eukaryota; Viridiplantae; Streptophyta; Magnoliopsida; Fabales; Fabaceae. The record is from RNAcentral.